UAUAUUUUAGUGUAUGAAGCACAAGAAUUUUUGAUAUUCUAGGAAUUAGUUUAAUUCUAUUAAAUAUAA
This 69-nucleotide transfer RNA is filed under the name Mecopoda niponensis. Its description in RNAcentral is "tRNA-Gln". Lineage: Eukaryota; Metazoa; Arthropoda; Insecta; Orthoptera; Tettigoniidae. The record is from RNAcentral.